UACGGAGGAUCCGAGCGUUAUCCGGAUUUAUUGGGUUUAAAGGGUGCGCAGGCGGGAGAUUAAGUCGGCGGUGAAAUUUUGCAGCUCAACUGUAAAAGUGCCUUCGAAACUGGUUUCCUUGAGUGUAGAUGAAGUAGGCGGAAUUUGUGGUGUAGCGGUGAAAUGCAUAGAUAUCACGAGGAACUCCGAUUGCGCAGGCAGCUUACUAAACUACUACUGACGCUCAGGCACGAAGGCGUGGGGAUCAAGCAGGAUUAGAUACCCGGGUAGU
This 271-nucleotide ribosomal RNA is filed under the name uncultured prokaryote. RNAcentral's name for it is "partial 16S ribosomal RNA". It matches the Rfam family "Bacterial small subunit ribosomal RNA", at positions 524 to 794 of the family's 1533-position model. The record is from RNAcentral.